Xylaria sp. FL1042 is the source of this 74-nucleotide non-coding RNA. NCBI's taxonomy places the organism in Eukaryota, Fungi, Ascomycota, Sordariomycetes, Xylariales, Xylariaceae. The record is from the annotation of a GenBank genome assembly.
GGUCGGUUAGCUCAGUUGGUUAGAGCGUCGUACUAAUAAUGCGAAGGUCAUGAGUUCGACCCUCAUACUGACCA